This 235-nucleotide ribosomal RNA is filed under the name uncultured bacterium. Its description in RNAcentral is "partial 16S ribosomal RNA". It matches the Rfam family "Bacterial small subunit ribosomal RNA", at positions 99 to 334 of the family's 1533-position model. The record is from RNAcentral.
CAAACGGGUGCGGAACACGUACGCAACUUUCCCAAAACUGGUGAAUAGCCUUCCGAAAGGGAGAUUAAUACACCGUAAGAUAUAGAGAUGGCAUCACCUUUAUAUUAUAGCUCCGGCGGUUUUGGAUGGGCGUGCGGCUGAUUAGGUAGUUGGCGGGGUAACGGCCCACCAAGCCUGCGAUCAGUAACUGGUGUGAGGGCACGACCAGUCACACGGGCACUGAGACACGGGCCCG